This 254-nucleotide ribosomal RNA is filed under the name uncultured bacterium. Its description in RNAcentral is "partial 16S ribosomal RNA". It matches the Rfam family "Bacterial small subunit ribosomal RNA", at positions 524 to 776 of the family's 1533-position model. The record is from RNAcentral.
UACGGGGGGGGGCAAGCGUUGUUCGGAAUUACUGGGCGUAAAGGGCUCGUAGGCGGCCAACUAAGUCCGACGUGAAAUCCCCAGGCUUAACCUGGGAACUGCGUCGGAUACUGGAUGGCUUGAAUUCGGGAGAGGGAUGCAGAAUUCCAGGUGUAGCGGUGAAAUGCGUAGAGAUGUGGAGGAACACCGAUGGCGAAGGCAGCCCCCUGGGUCAAGAUUGACGCUCAUGCACGAAAGCGUGGGGAGCAAACAGG